Molecule: long non-coding RNA, 559 nt
Organism: Zophobas morio
Lineage: Eukaryota; Metazoa; Arthropoda; Insecta; Coleoptera; Tenebrionidae
Exons: 2
Source: RefSeq, a predicted model, not a curated record
CUAUAAAUAGCAUUCAAGGGGCACCGAGUGGUUUUACCACUUUUUGCUUCCGGUUUCCCUCUUGCUUCUUGCGCUCUUCUUAGCUUAAUAAAAUGGCUUCAGGCAUCCCUAUCAGCGACGAAAGUUAUAAUGCUUAUGAACGCGUGAAGAACAGAAAUCUUCGAGGCGCUAUUUUAAAAAUUGAAAAUAACGAGAUUGUAGUCGAAGAAUUGUUCGAUAAUAGUUCUUCCUCAGAAUCCACUUGGGAAAAUUUAUGUAGCAGACUUAAAUCUAAGGAAUGUCGCUAUAUUCUCUACGAUUUUGAGUUUACGGUUGCAUCUAGUAAGAGGAGCAAAGUUUCACUAGCGUUGUGGGCUCCUGAUACUGCCAGUGUGAAGGAUAAAAUGUUAUCAGCAUCUUCUGCUGAAGCGUUAAAGAACAAAUUUGGUUUAUCUGUCGUUACUCAAGUUAACUGUCCCAGUGCUCUUGGAUACUCAGAAAUAGUCCAGGAAGUAGGAAAAAGAUCCAGCUAAAAUUGGUUUACUUCCCUCAGAGUACUAUUAAAAAUUUAAUGAAACUA